GCUUACACAUGCAGUCGAGGGGUAUGGUUCUUCGGAGCCAGAGACCGGCGCACGGGUGCGUAACGCGUAUGCAAUCUACCUUUUACAGCGGGAUAGCCCAGAGAAAUUUGGAUUAAUACCUCAUAGUAUAUAGAGUUGGCAUCAACACUAUAUUAAAGUCACAACGGUAAAAGAUGAGCAUGCGUCCCAUUAGCUAGUUGGUAAGGUAACGGCUUACCAAGGCUACGAUGGGUAGGGGUCCUGAGAGGGAGAUCCCCCACACUGGUACUGAGACACGGACCAGACUCCUACGGGAGGCAGCAGUGAGGAAUAUUGGACAAUGGGCGCAAGCCUGAUCCAGCCAUGCCGCGUGCAGGAUGACGGUCCUAUGGAUUGUAAACUGCUUUUAUACGAGAAGAAACACUCCUUCGUGAAGGAAUUUGACGGUAUCGUAAGAAUAAGGAUCGGCUAACUCCGUGCCAGCAGCCGCGGUAAUACGGAGGAUCCAAGCGUUAUCCGGAAUCAUUGGGUUUAAAGGGUCCGUAGGCGGUCUUGUAAGUCAGUGGUGAAAGCCCAUCGCUCAACGGUGGAACGGCCAUUGAUACUGCUGGACUUGAAUUAUUAGGAAGUAACUAGAAUAUGUAGUGUAGCGGUGAAAUGCUUAGAGAUUACAUGGAAUACCAAUUGCGAAGGCAGGUUACUACUAAUUGAUUGACGCUGAUGGACGAAAGCGUGGGUAGCGAACAGGAUAAAAAAUCCCCUUGG
Molecule: ribosomal RNA, 744 nt
Filed under: Flavobacterium sp.
Lineage: Bacteria; Pseudomonadati; Bacteroidota; Flavobacteriia; Flavobacteriales; Flavobacteriaceae
Description: bacterial SSU rRNA
Rfam family: Bacterial small subunit ribosomal RNA
Source: RNAcentral